GAUUAAGCCAUGCAAGUGAAAGUAUAUGCAUAUUUUAUAUGUAGAAACUGCGAACGGCUCAUUAAAACAGUUAUAAUCUACUUGACAUGUUUUCUAUAAGGAUAACUACGGAAAAGCUGUAGCUAAUACUUGCUUUAGCACUCUUGAUUAAGUUCUUGAGUGUGUACUUGUUAAGCCUUUUAAGAAAAAAGUUAUUAACUUAAGGAAUUAUAAUAAAGAAGUAACACGUAAAUGGAUUUUCCAUUUUUUAGUGUGUAUCAAUCGAGUUUCUGACCUAUUAGCUUUUGAUGUUAGGGUAUUGGCCUAACAUGGCUAUGACGGGUAACGGGGAAUUAGAGUUCGAUUCCGGAGAGGGAGCCUGAGAAAUAGCUACCACAUCUAAGGAAGGCAGCAGGCGCGUAAAUUACCCAAUUCUAAAGAAGAGAGGUAGUGACAAGAAAUAACAAUACAAGGCCAAUCUGGCUUUGUAAUUGGAAUGAUGGGAAUUUAAAACCUUCCCAAAACUCAAUUGGAGGGCAAGUCUGGUGCCAGCAGCCGCGGUAAUUCCAGCUCCAAUAGCGUAUAUUAAAAUUGUUGCAGUUAAAACGCUCGUAGUUGAAUUUCAAAGAAUCGAUAUUUUAAGUAACGCUUUGUAGAUUAAUCCACAUAACUGAUACUACGUAUCGACUUUGUGCGCAUUUUUCUACUUAUGUGUUCUUUUAAUUAAAAUGAUUCUUUUUAAGAUCUUUCUUUUUUGCUUCGGCAUUUUAGGAGAUCUUGUUACUUUGAGUAAAUUAGAGUGUUCAAAGCAAACAGAUUAUAGCAUCUUUAUGCGUUUGAAUACUACAGCAUGGAAUAACAAAAUUGAACAAGUCAGAAUUUUGUUCUUUUUUCUUAUUUUGGCUUAGUUACGAUUAAUAGGAGUAGCUUGGGGGCAUUUGUAUUCAGAUGUCAGAGGUGAAAUUCUUAGAUUUUCUGGAGACAAACAACUGCGAAAGCAUUUGCCUAAAAUACUUCCAUUAAUCAAGAACGAAAGUUAAGGGAGUGAAGACGAUCAGAUACCGUCGUAAUCUUAACCAUAAACUAUGCCGACUAGGCUUUGGAUGAAAGAUUUUAAAAUAAGAGUUUUUUCUCUGAGGAGUUAAGACUCUUAGAUUGCUUCCUUCAGUGCCUUAUGAGAAAUCAAAGUCUUUGGGUUCUGGGGCGAGUAUUCGCGCAAGCGAGAAAGUUAAAAGAAUUGACGGAAGGGCACCACCAGGCGUGGAGCUUGCGGCUUAAUUUGACUCAACACGGGAAAACUCACUAGUUUAAGACAAGAGUAGGAUUGACAGAUUAAUAGCUCUUUCUUGAUUUCUUGGAUGGUGAUGCAUGGCCGUUUUUAGUUCGUGAAUAUGAUUUGUCUGGUUAAUUCCGAUAACGAACGAGAUCUUAACCUGCUAAUUAGCGGCAAAUACGAUAUAUUCUUAUGUGGAAUUGAAUAUAGUUGAUUUGCUUAUUUUGAAGAAAAUAUUGGGAUACGUAAAUGUAUCCCUUUCCCUUUUCUACUUAAUUUGCUUAUCAUACUAUUUCUUUUUUGCGUAAGAAUGUAUUUGCUUGAUUGUAAAGCUUCUUAGAGGAACGAUGUGUGUCUAACACAAGGAAGUUUAAGGCAACAACAGG
Molecule: ribosomal RNA, 1638 nt
Filed under: Plasmodium inui
Lineage: Eukaryota; Apicomplexa; Aconoidasida; Haemosporida; Plasmodiidae
Description: SSU rRNA
Rfam family: Eukaryotic small subunit ribosomal RNA
Source: RNAcentral